GUCUAUGGCCAUACCACCCUGAACGCGCCCGAUCUCGUCUGAUCUCGGAAGCUAAGCAGGGUCGGGCCUGGUUAGUACUUGGAUGGGAGAAAUUCUGACCCCACCCUGAGAGUCCCAGGCGAGCCU
Molecule: ribosomal RNA, 126 nt
Filed under: Neogale vison (American mink)
Lineage: Eukaryota; Metazoa; Chordata; Mammalia; Carnivora; Mustelidae
Source: RNAcentral